GUGAAUAUAUCUUCUCGGUAGUACAAGUUGACGCAUGCGCACUAGAAAUUUGUUACAUGAAAAUCGCUACUGUGUAUAUACUGUGAUCUCUGGCCUUAUAUUCAAUCGAUUUAAUCUAUUUAGAUUUGUGUCUAUGGUCGAUGUCGGCGGUUCGAAAGCGUCUCGUUAAAUUAGGGUUAUGAUUAUACGUAAGCCGGAGAAUUACAAAAGGAAAUGUUCAUGUAGCUGUCAAAAAAACAGAAUAUUCUUAUAGUUCAUUGAGUUCUUUCUCUAAACAAGUCACAAAGAUUAGGAAUCCAACAAUUUCUCAAGAUGUCUGGUGGUAUGCUGUAUGGUGGAGACGAGAUAGGAGCGUUAGUCUUCGACUUGGGUCAUCAUUCUCUAAGAGUCGGCUAUGCUCAGGAAGAUACUCCGAAGGCGGAGAUCCCGGCAGUUGUCGGGAUAGGGGAGGAUGUGAAUGGUACGGCGACUAAAGUCGAACCUAUGGAUAUUGAUGAUAAAAAGCCUGACAGUAAUAUCACACAAAAUGGGACCAAAUAUUACAUUGACACCACAAUUCUUCACGUUCCACGGAGAAACAUGGAGGUCGUCAGUUAUAUGAAAGAGGGAAUGAUUGACGAUUGGGAUCAUUUCGAGAAAGUCUUGGAUUAUACGUAUUCAAAAAUAAUUCAAUCUGAUGCCGAGUAUCACCCUGUACUGUUUUCCGAAUCGCCAUGGAACGUACGCAGUAAGCGGGAGAAAUUAACUGAGUUGAUGUUUGAGAAGUACAAUGUACCAGCUUAUUUUCUCGUGAAAAAUGCAGUUUUGGCUGCGUUCGCCAACGGUAGAGCCACUGGUAUUGUUGUAGACAGCGGUGCCACGCAUACAUCUGCAGUGCCUGUACAAGAUGGAUUUGUAUUGACACAGGCUAUCGGUAAAUCGCCUCUUGGUGGAGACUACAUAAGUAUGCAAUGUAGACAGUUUUUGCAGGACAAUGAUAUCGACUUAUCACCUCCUUACAUGGUGGGCAGCAAGGAGGUAGUUAAAGACCAUGAUAAGCCACGGUGGGUUAAAAAGAAAAGUUUACCAGAAGUUACCAAAUCUUGGCACAAUUAUAUGGUGAGAAAGGUGAUUCAGGAUUUUCAAGCGACAGUUCUUCAGGUGUCAGAAACACCAUACGAUGAAAAGAUCGUUUCUACGAUUCCCGCGGUUCAAUAUGAAUUCCCGACUGGGUAUCAUCAGGACUUUGGAAGUGAAAGAUUUCGAAUACCAGAGGCGUUAUUUGAUCCUAGCAUAGUACAAAUGCCGCGAGGUAUGGUCGGCAAUACUAUGUUAGGAGUAGGGCAUAUCGUCACAACUAGUGUUGGCAUGUGCGACGUUGAUGUACGACCAGCGUUGUAUGGUAGUGUUGUGGUAACUGGUGGCAACUCGUUUAUUCAGGGUUUUCCGGAACGUUUAAAUAGAGAUUUAUCGAUGAGAAUACCCUCUAGCAUGCGUCUUAAAGUGAUUAGCGCAAACGGAUGCGCUGAAAGAAGAUUUGGAGCAUGGAUCGGUGGUUCGAUAUUGGCAUCGAUUGGUACUUUCCAACAAAUGUGGAUCUCCAGUCAGGAAUAUGAAGAGAGCGGAAAGAGUCAAGUGGAAAGAAAAUGUCCCUAAAAUGCAGUAGCUCCUUUUCAUAUCGUUUCAUCAAUUAGUGUCAGUGUGUUUGUAUGAACGUCGCACAGAGACUGCUUCACCAGGCUGAUUCUUAUUCCAACUGACGAGUGGAUCGUACACAAAAGGUUACCUGAAGCUGUCCAUUGACUUCAUGAGCUAAAACCAACUGUUGCAAAGUAGGAGACUGAUUUUGGGUCGCCAGGAUACCAGACACUCCGUCAGGAUCAUCGAAUACAUCAAUGCACGGUGAUAUUCACGUGAUUGGUAACAACCCUCCGCUACUACCAAACUAUCUAAUCUAGCGCAGAAUUCUAGAAAUAUCGACAAAACCACCAAUCACAUAAUAUAUGAUCUAUCAUAUUAUAAAUUAAUCUAGUACAGGAUAAAAUAGUUUUUUUUUCCUACAAACUUUUUAUUGCUUCAUAUCUAUCAUCUUGAAACAAUCUUCGUUCUCUGAGCCAUCUUUGUAAAUGAUCCAAUAUACAAAAGAUCACCUGUUCCAAUCAUAUAAAAACAUUUAAUGACAAAACUCUUUCUUUAAUGCUAA
RNAcentral lists this unclassified non-coding RNA (2182 nucleotides) under Monomorium pharaonis (pharaoh ant). Its description in RNAcentral is "actin-like protein 6B, transcript variant X4". Lineage: Eukaryota; Metazoa; Arthropoda; Insecta; Hymenoptera; Formicidae. The record is from RNAcentral.